GGCAGCGGGUUCUUUGGUCUGUUUGGUCAGAUUUUUAGACUGUAAAUUGAUACUACAUUAGAGUCCAGGUCAAGGUCGAUUAGGGCUAAUAUUUUGAGGCUAUUUGUAAAGCCGAUGAUAUGAUUUUUCUUGGUGUAAAUCUAAUUCUUGUAAAACGAUCUCGUGUUCUCUCUUGGGAGGUUCUUUGCAUAGUGACGGGCUUGGGUUGUUUUGCCUCUGAGCCCCCCAGAUUAGGCUUGGCCGAACUGGGUGAACAAU
Molecule: long non-coding RNA, 258 nt
Filed under: Olea europaea (common olive)
Lineage: Eukaryota; Viridiplantae; Streptophyta; Magnoliopsida; Lamiales; Oleaceae
Description: long non-coding RNA (OEUR_LNC008271)
Source: RNAcentral